GGGUUGUGAGGUUAAGCGACUAAGCGUACACGGUGGAUGCCCUGGCAGUCAGAGGCGAUGAAGGGCGUGCUAAUCUGCGAUAAGCGCCGGUAAGGUGAUAUGAACCGUUAUAACCGGCGAUACCCGAAUGGGGAAACCCAGUGUGAUUCGUCACACUAUCAUUAACUGAAUCCAUAGGUUAAUGAGGCGAACCGGGGGAACUGAAACAUCUAAGUACCCCGAGGAAAAGAAAUCAACCGAGAUUCCCCCAGUAGCGGCGAGCGAACGGGGAGGAGCCCAGAGCCUGAAUCAGCAUGUGUGUUAGUGGAAGCGUCUGGAAAGGCGCGCGAUACAGGGUGACAGCCCCGUACACAAAAGCGCAUGUGUUGUGAGCUCGAUGAGUAGGGCGGGACACGUGGUAUCCUGUCUGAAUAUGGGGGGACCAUCCUCCAAGGCUAAAUACUCCUGACUGACCGAUAGUGAACCAGUACCGUGAGGGAAAGGCGAAAAGAACCCCGGCGAGGGGAGUGAAAAAGAACCUGAAACCGUGUACGUACAAGCAGUGGGAGCACCCUUUGGGGUGUGACUGCGUACCUUUUGUAUAAUGGGUCAGCGACUUAUAUUCUGUAGCAAGGUUAACCG
This 621-nucleotide ribosomal RNA is filed under the name Salmonella enterica. RNAcentral describes it as "bacterial LSU rRNA". It matches the Rfam family "Bacterial large subunit ribosomal RNA", at positions 1 to 652 of the family's 2925-position model. The record is from RNAcentral. Lineage: Bacteria; Pseudomonadati; Pseudomonadota; Gammaproteobacteria; Enterobacterales; Enterobacteriaceae.